Molecule: ribosomal RNA, 467 nt
Filed under: uncultured bacterium
Lineage: Bacteria
Description: partial 16S ribosomal RNA
Rfam family: Bacterial small subunit ribosomal RNA
Source: RNAcentral
GAUGAACGCUGGCGGCGUGCUUAACACAUGCAAGUCGAACGGAAAGGCCCAAGCUUGCUUGGGUACUCGAGUGGCGAACGGGUGAGUAACACGUGGGUGAUCUGCCCUUCACUUCGGGAGAAGCCUUGGAAACUGGGUCUAAUACCGGAUAGGACCACAUUUUGGAUGGUGUGGUGGAAAGUUUUUCGGUGUGGGAUGAGCUCGCGGCCUAUAAGCUUGUUGGUGGGGUAAUGGCCUACCAAGGCGUCGACGGGUAGCCGGCCUGCGAGGGUGUACGGCCGCAUUAGACUCCUACGACAGGCAGCAGUAGGGAGGGUGGCAGAAGGGGGGAAUGUUGGACGAAGCGAGGAAGCGUGAUUGAUGGAGGCCGCGUGGGCGAUGACCGCCUUCGGGUUGUAAGAACCUUUCGCUAGGGAACAAGCGUUUUUGUGACGGUACCUGAAGAAGAAGCACCGGCUAACUACGUG